GAUGAAGAACGUAGCGAAAUGCGAUACUUGGUGUGAAUUGCAGAAUCCCGUGAACCAUCGAGUCUUUGAACGCAAGUUGCGCCCGAAGCCACUAGGCCGAGGGCACGCCUGCCUGGGCGUCACACGCCGUUGCCCCCCCAUCUACUCCUUCGGGAUUGCGGGGGGGCGGAAGAUGGCCUCCUGUGCGCCUAGCCGCGCGGUUGGCAUAAAUACCAAGUCCUCGGCGACGCACGCCACGACAAUCGGUGGUUGCGAAACCUCGGUUGCCCGUCGUGUGCGUUCGUCGCGCAUCGAGGGCUCGAAAAAAUGCUCGGCUCCGGCUGGGCUUUCAACGCGACCCCAGGUCAGGCGGGGUUACCCGCUGAAUUUAAGCAUAUCAAUAAGCGGAGGA
RNAcentral lists this unclassified non-coding RNA (391 nucleotides) under soil metagenome. RNAcentral describes it as "partial contains 5.8S ribosomal RNA, internal transcribed spacer 2, and large subunit ribosomal RNA". The stretch from base 1 to 122 matches the Rfam family "5.8S ribosomal RNA", at positions 35 to 154 of the family's 154-position model. The record is from RNAcentral.